RNAcentral lists this ribosomal RNA (448 nucleotides) under uncultured organism. RNAcentral describes it as "partial 16S ribosomal RNA". It matches the Rfam family "Bacterial small subunit ribosomal RNA", at positions 332 to 797 of the family's 1533-position model. The record is from RNAcentral.
UACACUCCUACGGGAGGCAGCAGUGGGGAAUAUUGGACAAUGGGCGCAAGCCUGAUCCAGCCAUGCCGCGUGAGUGAUGAAGGCCCUAGGGUUGUAAAGCUCUUUCACCGGUGAAGAUAAUGACGGUAACCGGAGAAGAAGCCCCGGCUAACUUCGUGCCAGCAGCCGCGGUAAUACGAAGGGGGCUAGCGUUGUUCGGAUUUACUGGGCGUAAAGCGCACGUAGGCGGACUAUUAAGUCAGGGGUGAAAUCCCGGGGCUCAACCCCGGAACUGCCUUUGAUACUGGUAGUCUUGAGUUCGAGAGAGGUGAGUGGAAUUCCGGGUGUAGAGGUGAAAGUCGUAGAUAUUCGGAGGAACACCAGUGGCGAAGGCGGCUCACUGGCUCGAUACUGACGCUGAGGUGCGAAAGCGUGGGGAGCAAACAGGAUUAGAUACCCGGGUAGUCCC